ACCGUGGCGCGCGCGACGGCGGCGCAGCGCGCGUUCUUCGCGCUGCCGGCGGAGCGGAAGGCCGCCGUGCGGAGGAGCGAGGCGGAGCCGCUCGGGUACUACGAGUCGGAGCACACCAAGAACGUCAGGGACUGGAAGGAGGUGUUCGACCUCGUCCCGCGCGAUCCGCCGCCGCCAGCAGCCGUGGCCGACGGCGAGGUCGUGUACAGGAACAAGUGGCCUGAGGACCUGCCAGGGUUCAGGUGAUGAAUCCAUUUGCGACCCUGACGACCUUUGGAUUUGGCUAUACUUCUCUCCUGAUCAAUCAAGAUUCCUUCUCCUUUUAGUUAGUUACUAUAUGUGAUGAUCGAUGAAACGAGAAUUAACUGAGACAAUGCCUUUUUUUUGGCUACUAAUUAAAAAACAAGAGAUGUGUGAAACGAGAAUGAUUUGCACGCACGCACGCAGAGAGGCGCUGGAGGAGUACACGAACGCUCUUGAAGAGCUGGCGUUGAAGCUGCUGGAGCUGCUGGCCCGGAGCCUGAAGCUGAGGCCCGACCGGCUGCACGGCUUCUUCAAGGAGCACACGUCGUUCUUCCGGCUGAACCACUACCCUCCGUGCCCGGCGCCGGAGGUGGUGCUGGGCGUGGGGCGGCACAAGGACCCCGGAGCGCUGACCGUCCUGUACCAGGACGACGUCGGCGGGCUCGACGUCCGGCGGCGAUCCGACGGCGAGUGGGUCCGCGUCAAGUGCGUUCCCAACUCGUUCGUCAUCAACGUCGGCGACACCGUGCAGGUGUGGAGCGACGACAGGUACGAGAGCGCGGAGCACCGGGUGUCGGUGAACUCGGAGAAGGAGAGGUUCUCCAUGCCCUACUUCUUCAACCCGGCGAGCGGCGCCAUUGUGGAGCCGCUGGAGGAGGUGGUGAGCGAGGAGAAGAAGCCGCCCAGGUACAGCGCCUACAGCUGGGGCGACUACUUCAGCACCAAGCUCAACGGCAACUUCAAGUGGCUGGACGUGGACAACCUCCAGAUCGCGGAUUUCAGGAAGAGCUACAGCUCCGGAGACGUGCCGUGACCGUGACCCUGAGUGAGUGGUACAAAAUUGUGACCACCACAAGUCCACAAGUGAAGAAGAGCCCUUUAGGUGCUAGCUGACUAGCGGUGUGCACCUACAGCUUCUUCCUCUGUAACCUUGGAAAUAAACUUGUCUUCUUGCCCUUUGUUCUCGGAACAAAGACAGAUAUAUAUAUUCCCUCUAUCUAUAAAAAGAAAAUACAAUUUUUACUUUUUGAGUAGUCAAAAACUGUUUAAAUUUUGACUAAAAUUAUAGUUCGUAUUAAAAAAUGCUAACAUUAAUGAUACAAAAUAAUUAUUCAUAGGUUAGUUAUAAAUUUUAUUUUAUCUAAAGACAUAAAUACUAUCGUUAUUUACUAUAAAUUUGGUUAAAUAUGAGCUAAUUUAAUUGACACGGAUUUCAUAGUUACAUUCUUUUCUAGACAAAGAGAGUAUAUAUUUUUCCGGUGUCCUAUCAUAGAACGAAAGGAUGUACUCGGAUCAAUUCAGGAGAACACACUACUGCACGGUCCGGUCGCUUGCUUAAGGGAUAAUUCAUCCGUAAUGGUUGUUGAAUUUAUUGAUCCAAAAAUAUUUUUUCUCAAUUAUGCAAAAGGUUUGUGCAUCUUUGUAUUAAAAUAGAGAAAAAAAAGGUUUAAGGCCAGUCUCAUGGGGUUUUCACCAGGAUGUCAUGCACAUUUAUUAGAGCGUCAUGUGAGCAAAACUGCACUUUUUGCAUGAAACGAAGAGGAGAGAGAAGGAAGUAGUUUCACCAUGGUGAAACUCCGCGGGCGUUGUUUCCCACGCGGUGAAACGAGAUGAAAUCCCCACUGAGGACUAAAUCGUUUCACCGUCUUGCAUGUGAUCCAAUCAUUUUGUAGUAAUUAAAUACUUUGCCCAGCCUAGGAAACGUCAAGGUGAAACUCAUGCAUUUUGGAGGUUGUUUCAUUAUUCGUUUCAUUGAUGCUCUGUCAGUAGAUUUGUUUUGGAAAUAGUGCAUUGAAACGGGCCACUGAGACUGGCCUAAUACAACAUGCCUUAGCGGCACCUAGAAGGUUAGAAGAGUUGUACAUGGAUGCUCAGACCCACCCUAGUGUACUUCACUAGACACCGUACUUUCUUCUCUCCGAUAGAUGUGGAGGUGAUAUGCAAUAUAACAAUAAGUGUGAGCAGACAAGAGGGUUUCUCAUAUUGGCAUUAGUUGCAUGUUUUUUACAUACUAUGUUAAAUCAAGAGUUACCAGUAUCUAACACCGGGGGUAUGUAAACCCUAUACUAAACAUACCUUUACAAUGAUAUUAACUCCCUUACUGAUUCUAGCAACUAGUUAGGGGCUUAGGGGCUACACCCAGCGGGUGUGCUUGCCCACCCCUGCUAGAUACCAUUCAAAGUCCUUGAGGCUCAAACUACCUUGAGCGAUGACUAGGCUAGCUGUUGAUCAAGGGCUCUCGAUAAACGAACAUGGCUUGGGAGGCAGGGUCCAGAGACCUUGGCCUAGAUCCACUUGGAUCCCCAUCGCUUGGGGGCUCUAGGUGAACAAAUGUGGCUCGACAAGAGACAUCCAGAAUGCUUCACUUGGGUUUGACUCAUGAGAGGAGUGAGCAGAUGAUGGACUUGACGGAUAUUUCGAAUCUCUUAUCACGCACAUGCUAUGGGACUACUGUCUCACACCUGCACAAUAGGGCGGAGAGUUGUUCCCUACCACAGCGAGGUGUCGCUUGCUUGCUUUGACAAGGGUCAUGCCUAGUAGCAUUUGACGAAACAUGACAGAGAGGGCAUGCGAUGGUCUAACCAUCCACAGGAAGUCAAGCGUACGGAGCCAUAUUUUAGUCUCUAUGAAACUCCAAAUCAUUAGCGUAGAACACAAGGGUAGGACAGACUAAGGACGACCAGAUUGGAGCGUCCUGAGGCAAACUUGUCUGCCCUAGCCACCUGCAAAAGCCAACAACAGGUAGGAGCUAUCACCCAUGACCAUCAGAGUGGAUCAAAGAAGACACCUCAAUGGCUCAAAGAUGAGGACGACAGCUAGAGAGGCCACUUUCCUUGGCUGCUAAGAACCUAGAACCACGUUUUGUACUUCUCACUCCCUCCCUUUCCCAAGAUAUAAGGUGAGGGCACCACACGCUAUAGAGGCACCAAAUAGUAGUGAUAGAUCAAUUUGGGAAGAAACCCUUUGCUCUCAUGCCCCUAUUUUUUAUGAACUCUUUCUUGAUCAUUUUAACAUGAAACAAAAACUUUUGCUGGGCUUGGUGUCUGAACUAGGAUAAACCCUCUCAUGUUUUGAGUGCUAACCACACCAAAGUUCACAUAUCGACCAUCUAAUCAUUAGUCAUGGUUAUGAACCCACGACAAAGAGGGAUAUUGAUCCUUCUAACAUUGGUUUCUUAGUCAAAUGUCUUCCCAAAUCUAAUUCCAUCAUCUAAUUGAUAUUUUGUAGAUUUAGGAUUUGUUCUUUAACAUCUAUUAGCUCCAUCAAAAAAUAUGAAUUAUUUCUUUUGCACAUAGCUUACUUCUUGAUAUAUGUAUUUCAUUGCUACAGAAAUGGUUCUAGAAGACAUUGAGAGGGAUCUUUGGAUUGCUAGAGAAGGUGAAUAGCCUAAUAAAUUUUUCUUGAAGGCACAACACUAGGAAAACUUAUUAAAAACAAGGAAGGCCCCAAUAAGGACUACCUCUAUCUAUGUCUGGCAAGCCUAGGGUGAGCACAACUACACACUUCUAGAAUUGAUCAAAGCAACUAAGCUAUGUCACUAGACAAAAACACUACAAGUAAAGAACAAGCGUUGAGUGAUUAAUACCACACAAUAUAUAUAUAUAUAUAUAUAUAUACACACUUGUGGUUAAGUGACUUUGCAGGCACCUAUGUCUGUGUUGAGCCAAGGUCAACGAUCAACGCUCCUCUACAAGCUCAUCAAUAACCCCCGACAUGAGCGCUUGUCUAUGAGAUUACACGACCACAAGGUGCUACUCCAAGCCUCGAUUCCACUAAGGUGAUUCUUCACCUCUCAAACGGAUAGAUGGUGGUAGCGGUAGAGACGACGAUGGAGGGCGAGGGGUGGGGGUGUUGUCUGUUGGCUUGUGGGAGACGUUGGUUGGGCGAUGUAGGCAACAAGGGCAUCAGUCAGAGACAAAGAAGACACAAUGACUAAGAUUAGUGAUGAUGGUAGAGUAAGUGGCGGCAAAGGAUGAUACACUACAUUCAUAGAAGGUGGUGUGAGGCAGGCCCACUUGAGCAAGGGAUGAAGAAGACACUAAGAUUAGCGGUUGUUGCAGUCGCAGGCCUGAUAGCUACAAGGGCGGCGACUCCCGAGGCAGGAGAGUAGGAGAAAGGGUGGGAUGGGAUGGGUUGAGGGUGAAUAUUCAGUGAGGACAAUUCAUAUGGAACAACCAUGAACACAUGUUGUGGAAUUACGACGUAUAUCUAUGUGUAUGCAUCCAACACAUCAGAGGGUUAUAUUUUUUAUUUAUAACUAUAUUUCUUCUAAAUUUAAGCAAUAUUCCCUAUGUGUUGGAUGCAUGAAUCCAUGAUAAGUACUUUCUUUGUCCACCAAUUGAAGUUGUUUUAGCUCUCAUCCAUGUGCAACAUUAAUUGCUCGAACCUAGACAUACACCGUGCAUAGAUGCAUUCAAGAAUUAGUGAACCUGGACAGUUAAUUGGGGGACAGAGAGGAAGCCAUGGUUGCUCUAAGGCCUUGUUUACUUCCACUUAAAAAUUCAAAAUUUUUCAAGAUCUCCUGUCACAUCGAAUCUUUAGACGCAUGUAUAGAGUAUUAAAUAUAGAUAAAAAUAAAAACUAAUUACAUAGUUUGGUCAAAAUUUACGAGAUGAAUAUUUUAAUUAAGCCUAGUUAGUCCAUGAUUGGAUAAUAAUUAAUACAAACAAACAAAAAUGCUACAGUGUCACGAUUUUUUUUUUCUUCACCAACUAAACACGGCCUAAAGGGAUUGUCCUCACUGAUUUCUUUUUUCAGUGGGGGGAAGAUAAUGCAAAGAGAAGCAAGCAGGGACGUGCAUUUGUGUGUGCACACGCACGCGCUAGUAUAUAGCCAAAGGAAAAUGUUUUGCUUCACCAUAACUGAUGUGCUAGGACAAAGCCUCAUAUAACUUUCCACCCUGGGCUAUAGUGGAUCCGGAUCCUACAAUCAUCCAUGACAUCACACGUACUACUAGAACACACCAAGUACUAAACCGCACCAUCGAUCAAAACAACACAAAGUUGUUCAGUACACUCAUCCGCUUGUGUACAUGGACACAUCAGCCAAUUAAACGGGAGAAGUGCUGGAAAACAAGAUUCACCUAAAAUUCCAUCCAGAUUCAUUGAAUCCAACCAGCUCCAACGUCCCAUUUAACCACCCUCUCCCUCUCAUCACAGGCCCCAGCCUCACUCUUCUCACAGCAAGACAUCGCAGCCUCACAACCACACAGCAACGUGAUCGCCAUGGGCGGGCUCACCAUGGAGCAGGCCUUCGUGCAGGCCCCCGAGCACCGCCCCAAGCCCACCGUCACCGAGGCCACCGGCAUCCUGGUCAUCGACCUCUCGCCUCUCACCGCCAGCGACACCGACGCGGCCGCGGUGGACGCGCUGGCCGCCGAGGUGGGCGCGGCGAGCCGGGACUGGGGCUUCUUCGUGGUGGUUGGCCACGGCGUGCCCGCGGAGACCGUGGCGCGCGCGACGGCGGCGCAGCGCGCGUUCUUCGCGCUGCCGGCGGAGCGGAAGGCCGCCGUGCGGAGGAGCGAGGCGGAGCCGCUCGGGUACUACGAGUCGGAGCACACCAAGAACGUCAGGGACUGGAAGGAGGUGUUCGACCUCGUCCCGCGCGAUCCGCCGCCGCCAGCAGCCGUGGCCGACGGCGAGCUCGUCUUCAAGAACAAGUGGCCCCAGGAUCUGCCGGGCUUCAGGUGACGAAAUCAACUUAUCUUUUCGAUCAUAUUUUACCAUUUAAUAGUUUAACAAUAAUUGAACUUUUUUUUGCAGAGAG
This 6009-nucleotide long non-coding RNA is filed under the name Sorghum bicolor (sorghum). RNAcentral describes it as "long non-coding RNA (SBIC_LNC000250)". The record is from RNAcentral. Lineage: Eukaryota; Viridiplantae; Streptophyta; Magnoliopsida; Poales; Poaceae.